Molecule: long non-coding RNA, 665 nt
Organism: Oryza brachyantha (malo sina)
Lineage: Eukaryota; Viridiplantae; Streptophyta; Magnoliopsida; Poales; Poaceae
Exons: 3
Source: RefSeq, a predicted model, not a curated record
UCCAUUUCCACGAUCUGAAAUCAAUCCCCACACAAAACCCUAGCUAAACCUAAACCAGACCAAUCCUCACAGCAGCAGCUCUCUUCCCCCCAUCCACAGCAGCCACAAAGCACCAUCUCUGCCGCUACAUCCCUCGUACGCCGCCUCCGACGACCCAAGAAAGCUCUAGAUAGAGCUCCCAGUUGGCUGGAUCCAAGCCCCUGAGGAAGCACAGGAAACAUCAUCUUGUGUUGAGUGCAUUGUGGCCUCGAUUGAUUCGUCGUCAUGAAGCUCGAGACGACGCUGUUGUGUCCUCUAGAGCAAGCUCAAGAUCUGUCCUAAGCAAUUAGGUUGGAGGUUGCUUGGUUCCUGUCUUUGACCUAUGCUGACAUAUAGCUAGGAGGAAUUAUAAUUGCUUUCUAAGUAAUUGGAGCCCCAGCUACACACUUGAACAAGGUUAGAAGAAAAUCAGACCGAACAACCAGCACAGAACUACAAAGUAUACAUGUGGUUCCCUUGUUCUCUAACUAUUUCUCCCCUUGUUCAUGAUUCUGAAUUUCUCACAGUAUUUCAGUAAUUGUAUAUGAUACUCUGUUUUUUGAAUGUGAUUGGAAUGCUUUUUGAGUAGUGAGACAUGUGACAUAUAUGUAUAUUUUUUACAGUACAAUAACUAGCUAAGUACUGAU